Molecule: ribosomal RNA, 483 nt
Filed under: uncultured bacterium
Lineage: Bacteria
Description: partial 16S ribosomal RNA
Rfam family: Bacterial small subunit ribosomal RNA
Source: RNAcentral
AUUGAACGCUGGCGGCAGGCCUAACACAUGCAAGUCGAGCGGAUGAAGGGAGCUUGCUCCUGGAUUCAGCGGCGGACGGGUGAGUAAUGCCUAGGAAUCUGCCUGGUAGUGGGGGAUAACGUCCGGAAACGGGCGCUAGUACCGCAUACGUCCUGAGGGAGAAAGUGGGGGAUCUUCGGACCUCACGCUAUCAGAUGAGCCUAGGUCGGAUUAGCUAGUUGGUGGGGUAAAGGCCUACCAAGGCGACGAUCCGUAACUGGUCUGAGAGGAUGAUCAGUCACACUGGAACUGAGACACGGUCCAGACUCCUACGGGAGGCAGCAGUGGGGAAUAUUGGACAAUGGGCGAAAGCCUGAGCCAGCCAUGCCGCGUGUGUGAAGAAGGUCUUCGGAUUGUAAAGCACUUUAAGUUGGGAGGAAGGGCAGUAAGUUAAUACCUUGCUGUUUUGACGUUACCAACAGAAUAAGCACCGGCUAACUUCGU